This 22-nucleotide microRNA is filed under the name Magallana gigas (Pacific oyster). RNAcentral's name for it is "Mgi-Mir-317-P1_5p* (star (passenger))". The record is from RNAcentral. Lineage: Eukaryota; Metazoa; Mollusca; Bivalvia; Ostreida; Ostreidae.
AAGGUACCAUUGUGUGUUUGUA